AAUAUUACCUUUGAAUUUUAGCUUUGUCCACUGUAAAUCCAGAUUUAGUUGUAAUUAAACUUUUUAGUGGUCACUAGUUAUUAUUUCAUCUUUUGUUAAAAACUAUCUUCAUUGCUAAAUCACAUUAGUUCUUUGUAAUAAUCAGCCUAAGUAUGCAGUGCACAGAUCAUGUCAAGC
Etheostoma cragini (Arkansas darter) is the source of this 177-nucleotide long non-coding RNA. RefSeq lists it as uncharacterized. The record is from RefSeq and is a predicted model, not a curated record. Lineage: Eukaryota; Metazoa; Chordata; Actinopteri; Perciformes; Percidae. The transcript is spliced from 3 exons.